RNAcentral lists this ribosomal RNA (568 nucleotides) under Debaryomyces hansenii. Its description in RNAcentral is "partial large subunit ribosomal RNA". It matches the Rfam family "Eukaryotic large subunit ribosomal RNA", at positions 44 to 627 of the family's 3401-position model. The record is from RNAcentral. Lineage: Eukaryota; Fungi; Ascomycota; Pichiomycetes; Serinales; Debaryomycetaceae.
UCAAAAGCGGAGGAAAAGAAACCAACAGGGAUUGCCUUAGUAACGGCGAGUGAAGCGGCAAAAGCUCAAAUUUGAAAUCUGGCACCUUCGGUGUCCGAGUUGUAAUUUGAAGAAGGUAACUUUGGAGUUGGCUCUUGUCUAUGUUCCUUGGAACAGGACGUCACAGAGGGUGAGAAUCCCGUGCGAUGAGAUGCCCAAUUCUAUGUAAAGUGCUUUCGAAGAGUCGAGUUGUUUGGGAAUGCAGCUCUAAGUGGGUGGUAAAUUCCAUCUAAAGCUAAAUAUUGGCGAGAGACCGAUAGCGAACAAGUACAGUGAUGGAAAGAUGAAAAGAACUUUGAAAAGAGAGUGAAAAAGUACGUGAAAUUGUUGAAAGGGAAGGGCUUGAGAUCAGACUUGGUAUUUUGCGAUCCUUUCCUUCUUGGUUGGGUUCCUCGCAGCUUACUGGGCCAGCAUCGGUUUGGAUGGUAGGAUAAUGACUAAGGAAUGUGGCUCUACUUCGGUGGAGUGUUAUAGCCUUGGUUGAUACUGCCUGUCUAGACCGAGGACUGCGUCUUUUGACUAGGAUGUU